Plodia interpunctella (Indianmeal moth) is the source of this 1145-nucleotide long non-coding RNA. RefSeq lists it as uncharacterized. Lineage: Eukaryota; Metazoa; Arthropoda; Insecta; Lepidoptera; Pyralidae. The record is from RefSeq and is a predicted model, not a curated record. The transcript is spliced from 3 exons.
AAUGACGCCUUAGCGACGCACGUUGUGGCCAAAAUAUUUCAACGUUAUUUUACACUGCGACGAAAAUGUAUUGAAGUGACACCCACCAAGUUAAUGUGCGUGAAUGUCUUUGAGACGUUUUUGUAACUUAAACUUUUACGAAUUGUAUUUUGUGCAAUAAAGUUUAAAUAAAUAAAAGUCAACUUGAAGUAGCCUUUCUAUUCUAAAAUAUAAGCAGACAUGCGGCUUCAGAUGGGAUUAGUCACACGCGCGUUGCCGACACCGAUUGAAUAAUUUCACGCUUAUAAAUAUAUAUAGAUAGACAAGACAAAUCACAAAUAUUUUUUCCUUGUCUAAAUCUUUUUUAUCAGCUUUCAUUAUUAAAUCAGCAGCGUUGCUUAAUCCUUGCCAAUCCGGUUCCGCAGACCUUCAAACUGAUAGAUAGUGGACAGCGCCAGACAAGCUGUCUCACCGACUCACAGAUUCGUUUGAAAUACAACACAAGACUUUCUAAUCGAAAUCUAUCGUUCAUUAUAUAAGUACUUACUUAAAGAAGACGUAACAAUAUUUCCGAAAAUGCUUCCAUGAAGGAAGGUUCCUAGAAGGAGAGAACUCCGCCAGUGUGAUUACAUUCUCAAUAAUUCUACGUGCUUACAAACUUUUCGGUUAAAUUAACGGGAACGAAUGAGAAAAAAACAAGAAUGUGUUUCUCUUUCCAUUUAGACUGUAAAUGUCAAUCAAGGGAGAGGCCUUUUUUAAACAGGGGAUUCCUCAUAAUUUAAGAAUAUGUAAAUCAAGCGUAGGUAGAUGACUGAUUGGACAAACGUCGUCACAAGCAACGAAAAUGAGUUCAUCAUACGAAAUAAAAGGUUUGAAAGCAUGGACAAUAUUGACUAUGAAUGAAGCAUUAACCGCAUAUAUCAUAAUGCCUAUUAUAGGUAUAAUUACCUAUUAUAAGAUCAUUAUAACAAAGGUCAUGAUUCUUCAGAAGAUUUCUAUUGCUAAAACUUUCUUUUUCGGACUAGAGUUGUUAUUGUUAAUAAGUUUGUACCUCGUGAGUUUAUUAACCGAUCUGACUCAGGAAGUAAAUAAUAAUAAUCUUUAUUUUUUUUUCUUCUCUCACAUAUAAUUACACAGUUAAAAAACUUUUCUGUUUAAUAUUAGUU